Molecule: ribosomal RNA, 253 nt
Filed under: uncultured bacterium
Lineage: Bacteria
Description: partial 16S ribosomal RNA
Rfam family: Bacterial small subunit ribosomal RNA
Source: RNAcentral
UACGGGGGGGGUAAGCGUUGUUCGGAAUUACUGGGCGUAAAGGGCGCGUAGGCGGCCUGCUAAGUCGAACGUGAAAUCCCUGGGCUCAACCCAGGAACUGCGUCCGAUACUGGUUGGCUUGAAUCCGGGAGAGGGAUGUGGAAUUCCAGGUGUAGCGGUGAAAUGCGUAGAUAUCUGGAGGAACACCGGUGGCGAAGGCGAGUCUCUGGGAUGAUGCUGACGCUGAGGCGCGAAAGCCAGGGGAGCAAACGGG